This 1346-nucleotide ribosomal RNA is filed under the name uncultured bacterium. Its description in RNAcentral is "bacterial SSU rRNA". It matches the Rfam family "Bacterial small subunit ribosomal RNA", at positions 28 to 1381 of the family's 1533-position model. The record is from RNAcentral.
GACGAACGCUGGCGGCGUGCUUAACACAUGCAAGUCGAACGGAAAGGCCCUGCUUUUGUGGGGUGCUCGAGUGGCGAACGGGUGAGUAACACGUGAGUAACCUGCCCUUGACUUUGGGAUAACUUCAGGAAACUGGGGCUAAUACCGGAUAGGAGCUCCUGCUGCAUGGUGGGGGUUGGAAAGUUUCGGCGGUUGGGGAUGGACUCGCGGCUUAUCAGCUUGUUGGUGGGGUAGUGGCUUACCAAGGCUUUGACGGGUAGCCGGCCUGAGAGGGUGACCGGCCACAUUGGGACUGAGAUACGGCCCAGACUCCUACGGGAGGCAGCAGUGGGGAAUAUUGCACAAUGGGCGGAAGCCUGAUGCAGCAACGCCGCGUGCGGGAUGACGGCCUUCGGGUUGUAAACCGCUUUCGCCUGUGACGAAGCGUGAGUGACGGUAAUGGGUAAAGAAGCACCGGCUAACUACGUGCCAGCAGCCGCGGUGAUACGUAGGGUGCGAGCGUUGUCCGGAUUUAUUGGGCGUAAAGGGCUCGUAGGUGGUUGAUCGCGUCGGAAGUGUAAUCUUGGGGCUUAACCCUGAGCGUGCUUUCGAUACGGGUUGACUUGAGGAAGGUAGGGGAGAAUGGAAUUCCUGGUGGAGCGGUGGAAUGCGCAGAUAUCAGGAGGAACACCAGUGGCGAAGGCGGUUCUCUGGGCCUUUCCUGACGCUGAGGAGCGAAAGCGUGGGGAGCGAACAGGCUUAGAUACCCUGGUAGUCCACGCUGUAAACGGUGGGUACUAGGUGUGGGGUCCAUUCCACGGGUUCCGUGCCGUAGCUAACGCUUUAAGUACCCCGCCUGGGGAGUACGGCCGCAAGGCUAAAACUCAAAGGAAUUGACGGGGCCCCGCACGAGCGGCGGAGCAUGCGGAUUAAUUCGAUGCAACGCGUAGAACCUUACCUGGGUUUGACAUGGAUCGGGAGCGCUCAGAGAUGGGUGUGCCUCUUUUGGGGUCGGUUCACAGGUGGUGCAUGGCUGUCGUCAGCUCGUGUCGUGAGAUGUUGGGUUAAGUCCCGCAACGAGCGCAACCCUUGUUCACUGUUGCCAGCACGUUAUGGUGGGGACUCAGUGGAGACCGCCGGGGUCAACUCGGAGGAAGGUGGGGAUGACGUCAAGUCAUCAUGCCCCUUAUGUCCAGGGCUUCACGCAUGCUACAAUGGCUGGUACAGAGAGUGGCGAGCCUGUGAGGGUGAGCGAAUCUCGGAAAGCCGGUCUCAGUCCGGAUUGGGGUCUGCAACUCGACCUCAUGAAGUCGGAGUCGCUAGUAAUCGCAGAUCAGCAACGCUGCGGUGAAUACGUUCCCGGGGCU